Molecule: ribosomal RNA, 497 nt
Filed under: uncultured bacterium
Lineage: Bacteria
Description: partial 16S ribosomal RNA
Rfam family: Bacterial small subunit ribosomal RNA
Source: RNAcentral
GACGAACGCUGGCGGCGUGCCUAAUACAUGCCAGUUGAGCGCUGAAGGUUGGUACUUGUACCAACUGGAUGAGCAGCGAACGGGUGAGUAACGCGUGGGGAAUCUGCCUUUGAGCGGGGGACAACAUUUGGAAACGAAUGCUAAUACCGCAUAAAAACUUUAAACACAAGUUUUAAGUUUGAAAGAUGCAAUUGCAUCACUCAAAGAUGGUCCCGCGUUGUAUUAGCUAGUUGGUGAGGUAAAGGCUCACCAAGGCGAUGAUACAUAGCCGACCUGAGAGGGUGAUCGGCCACAUUGGGACUGAGACACGGCCCAAACUCCUACGGGAGGCAGCAGUAGGGAAUCUUCGGCAAUGGACGAAAGUCUGACCGAGCAACGCCGCGUGAGUGAAGAAGGGUUUCGGAUCGUAAAACUCUGUUGGUAGAGAAGAACGUUGGUGAGAGUGGAAAGCUCAUCAAGUGACGGUAACUACCCAGAAAGGGACGGCUAACUACGUG